GUGUUCGCUUUGGCAGCACAUAUACUAAAACUGGAAUGACACAGAGAAGAUUAGCACAGCCCCUGUCCAAAGAUGACACGCAAAUUCAUGAAGCAUUCCAUAUUUUA
Molecule: small nuclear RNA, 107 nt
Organism: Lutra lutra (Eurasian river otter)
Lineage: Eukaryota; Metazoa; Chordata; Mammalia; Carnivora; Mustelidae
Source: RefSeq, a predicted model, not a curated record